This is a long non-coding RNA of Manihot esculenta (cassava), 487 nucleotides long. RefSeq lists it as uncharacterized. The transcript has 4 exons. NCBI's taxonomy places the organism in Eukaryota, Viridiplantae, Streptophyta, Magnoliopsida, Malpighiales, Euphorbiaceae. The record is from RefSeq and is a predicted model, not a curated record.
UCCAUUUGAUUAUAUAUAUGUGUGUGUAAAGUUGCCAGUUUUUGUUCUUCAAACGUAAAUUUUUGCGUCCCCUUCGAGAAAGCGACUCUGCAAUUCGUCUUCACCUUCCUUAGAGCAGCGGACUUUUAUAUAAGGUUUUUGCUUUCCUUCGUUUGCUGCAUUCAUCAUCUCAAUCCACAGCCAGUGAAGAAGAAUUGGGUUUUACAAGGUGGGGAUACCUAGGAAAGAGAAGAAGUUGUCCUGCCCACAAGGUAUUUGUAUGUUUGUCUAGCUAGGCAUGGGCGAAUCUUUAGGCUUAUAGCUGUUUGCGACUGUAUUUUCUUUUUCUAGCUAUGCGUUAAUUGGAUGGAUCAAUGAUAAGUUUUGCUGGAUUUUCAUGAUGAUUUAAAAGUUUCUGAUGUUGAAUGGAAUGGGGUAAAUGUGAUUAUUAGUUCUUCAUGUCAUGUAAUAAUCUUAUGCUGAAUUGAUGAUUUCUUGCUCUCAUAUU